This 253-nucleotide ribosomal RNA is filed under the name uncultured Acidobacteriota bacterium. Its description in RNAcentral is "uncultured Acidobacteria bacterium partial 16S ribosomal RNA". It matches the Rfam family "Bacterial small subunit ribosomal RNA", at positions 524 to 776 of the family's 1533-position model. The record is from RNAcentral. Lineage: Bacteria; Pseudomonadati; Acidobacteriota.
UACGGAGGGAGCAAGCGUUACUCGGAAUUAUUGGGCGUAAAGGGCGCGUAGGCGAUUUGAUAAGUCACGUGUGAAAGCCCACAGCCUAACUGUGGAAGUGCACGUGAUACUGUUGAAUUUGAGUUCAGGAGAGGAAGGCAGAAUUCCCGGUGUAGCGGUGAAAUGCGUAGAUAUCGGGAGGAAUACCAGUGGCGAAGGCGGCCUUCUGGACUGACACUGACGCUGAGGCGCGAAAGCCAGGGGAGCAAACGGG